UUAGCACUCUGGACUUUGAAUCC
RNAcentral lists this non-coding RNA (23 nucleotides) under Drosophila melanogaster (fruit fly). The record is from RNAcentral. Lineage: Eukaryota; Metazoa; Arthropoda; Insecta; Diptera; Drosophilidae. RNAcentral also lists the same sequence under 2 other names.